GAGGAAGUCGAUGUAGGUGACAGGUCGCUCUUUUCCCCCUUCUAUAAUCCAAGUCCAGUGUUCUCAAAGAAAUCUCCGGCAAUGAAUGUCAGCUAAUUCUACUUGCCAGAGGUCAUUUAAACGGCCAUUCAAUCCGUCUUCUCCGGCGAAGCACAUCCAUUCCCUGUUAGCCGGCGAUACGACACCGUGAAACGUGAUUUUCCGACGGAUUUCAGUUGUUUUUCAACCAAAAGUAGAAAUCCACUGAUUGUCCAGUUCAUUGGGGAGCGUUUUUUGGAGUGACAAUAGAGGUAUCCUUCUUUUUAUCAUUUUCCAAAAAGUUGAUAAACUUGGCGGGUAUGUAAAAGAUAUUCUUUGUUUUCCAUCACUUUUACAUAUGUCAAAAAAAUAUUGUGACAUUUCCGUUCUUACGUCCUGUUCAAAUCGAUUAUUCUUUAUGUAGCAAAAUGGUCGAUUCCAUGGAUUAUAAUCGAAAAGAAGACUCACAAGAGGUUGUUGAACCCAGAAGAGGUCUUUAUUUUCAUUUUUUUUAUCAAACAGUUGCAAUUUAAAAAUUUGUGGGUUGCCCGUGUUAUUAUUAUUCAAAUAAGAAUCCUCAUAAUCAUAAAUUGGACUA
Long non-coding RNA from Nicotiana attenuata, 616 nucleotides. RefSeq lists it as uncharacterized. Lineage: Eukaryota; Viridiplantae; Streptophyta; Magnoliopsida; Solanales; Solanaceae. The transcript is spliced from 2 exons. The record is from RefSeq and is a predicted model, not a curated record.